AGGACGAACGCUGGCGGCGUGCUUAACACAUGCAAGUCGAACGAUGAAGCCUAGCUUGCUAGGUGGAUUAGUGGCGAACGGGUGAGUAAUACGUGAGUAACCUACCUUUAACUCUGGGAUAAGCCUGGGAAACUGGGUCUAAUACCGGAUACGACCAAUCUCCGCAUGGGGUGUUGGUGGAAAGCGUUAUGUAGUGGUUAUAGAUGGGCUCACGGCCUAUCAGCUUGUUGGUGAGGUAACGGCUCACCAAGGCGACGACGGGUAGCCGGCCUGAGAGGGUGACCGGCCACACUGGGACUGAGACACGGCCCAGACUCCUACGGGAGGCAGCAGUGGGGAAUAUUGCACAAUGGGCGCAAGCCUGAUGCAGCGACGCCGCGUGAGGGAUGACGGCCUUCGGGUUGUAAACCUCUGUUAGCAGGGAAGAAGAGAGAUUGACGGUACCUGCAGAGAAAGCGCCGGCUAACUACGUGCCAGCAGCCGC
RNAcentral lists this ribosomal RNA (484 nucleotides) under Rothia mucilaginosa. RNAcentral's name for it is "bacterial SSU rRNA". It matches the Rfam family "Bacterial small subunit ribosomal RNA", at positions 26 to 518 of the family's 1533-position model. The record is from RNAcentral. Lineage: Bacteria; Bacillati; Actinomycetota; Actinomycetes; Micrococcales; Micrococcaceae.